RNAcentral lists this ribosomal RNA (505 nucleotides) under uncultured bacterium. RNAcentral's name for it is "partial 16S ribosomal RNA". It matches the Rfam family "Bacterial small subunit ribosomal RNA", at positions 28 to 507 of the family's 1533-position model. The record is from RNAcentral.
GACGAACGCUGGCGGCGUGCCUAAUACAUGCAAGUAGAACGCACAGUUUAUACCGUAGCUUGCUACACCAUAGACUGUGAGUUGCGAACGGGUGAGUAAUGCGUAGGUAACCUGCCUGGUAGCGGGGGAUAACUAUUGGAAACGAUAGCUAAUACCGCAUAAUAUUGAUUAUUGCAUGAUAAUUAAUUGAAAGGUGCAAUUGCACCACUACCAGAUGGACCUGCGUUGUAUUAGCUAGUAGGUGAGGUAACGGCUCACCUAGGCGACGAUACAUAGCCGACCUGGGAGGGUGAUCGGCCACACUGGGACUGAGACACGGCCCAGACUCCUAAGGGAGGCAGCAGUAGGGAAUCUUCGGCAAUGGACGAAAGUCUGACCGAGCAACGCCGCGUGAGUGAAGAAGGUUUUCGGAUCGUAAAGCUCUGUUGUAAGAGAAGAACGGGUGUGAGAGUGGAAAGUUCACACUGUGACGGUAUCUUACCAGAAAGGGACGGCUAACUACGUG